ACGGAGGGGGAAAGUGCGACUUAAGAAAGGAGGGAGUUGCAACGAUAGUAAGGAAGUGGAGAAUGUGAGAAAGAAGGGUUGACAUGAUGACAAUGUAGUAAAACAAGAAAAAAAGGGACAUCAUGGAAUUAUGGUGAGAGAAAAGAGGAAAAAUUGGGGGCACAAUAGGAAAUGAUAGCUUGGAGAUAGCAUUGGACAAUGACGAGUAACGACGACCAAGCGACAUGACAUGGGUUUAUUAUAAGAAGAAAAAAACUUACAUUUAAGGUGAUAUAAAGGAGAUUUAACAACGAUUAUAUAAAUAACUAUCAUUAUUUCAUAAUUUUUGAACUUAUAGUGGCAAUUAUCACCUAAUCAUAGUUAAAAAGUUU
Molecule: long non-coding RNA, 371 nt
Filed under: Vigna radiata
Lineage: Eukaryota; Viridiplantae; Streptophyta; Magnoliopsida; Fabales; Fabaceae
Description: long non-coding RNA (VRAD_LNC013574)
Source: RNAcentral